Molecule: ribosomal RNA, 1122 nt
Filed under: uncultured Oxalobacteraceae bacterium
Lineage: Bacteria; Pseudomonadati; Pseudomonadota; Betaproteobacteria; Burkholderiales; Oxalobacteraceae
Description: bacterial SSU rRNA
Rfam family: Bacterial small subunit ribosomal RNA
Source: RNAcentral
UGGGCCGAAACGGGGGUGGCAUUAAUAUAUCGGAACGUGCCCUGGAGUGGGGGAUAACUAGUCGAAAGAUUAGCUCAUACCGCAUACGAUCUAAGGAUGAAAUGGGGGAUCUCAAGACCUCCUGCUCAUGCAGCGGCCCCUCUCUGGUUAGUUACUUGGUGGGGUAAAAGCCUACCAAGGCGUCUAUCCCUAUCUCACCUGAUGGGGGUGGAGGGGGCACCUGAUCCGCAUGCCGCGUGAUGAGAAGCCUUCGGGUUGUAAGCUCUUUUGUCAGGGAAGAAACGGUGGGAGCUAAUAUCUUCUGCUAAUGACGGUACCUGAAGAAUAAGCACCGGCUAACUACGUGCCAGCAGCCGCGGUAAUACGUAGGGUGCGAGCGUUAAUCGGAAUUACUGGGCGUAAAGCGUGCGCAGGCGGUUGUGCAAGACAGAUGUGAAAUCCCCGGGCUCAACCUGGGAAUUGCAUUUGUGACUGCACGGCUAGAGUGUGUCAGAGGGGGGUAGAAUUCCACGUGUAGCAGUGAAAUGCGUAGAGAUGUGGAGGAAUACCGAUGGCGAAGGCAGCCCCCUGGGAUAACACUGACGCUCAUGCACGAAAGCGUGGGGAGCAAACAGGAUUAGAUACCCUGGUAGUCCACGCCCUAAACGAUGUCAACUAGUUGUCGGGUCUUAAUUGACUUGGUAACGCAGCUAACGCGUGAAGUUGACCACCUGGGGAGUACGGUCAAUGUUCGAAUGAGAACCUGCAAACAGGUGCUGCAUGGCUGUCGUCAGCUCUCUCGUGAGAUGUUGGGUUAAGUCCCGCAAUGAGCGCAACCCUUUUCAUUAGUUGCUACGAAAGGGCACUCUAAUGAGACUCCGGUGACAAACCGGAGGAAGGUGGGGAUGACGUCAAGUCCUCAUGGCCCUUAUGGGUAGGGCUUCACACGUCAUACAAUGGUACAUACAGAGGGCCGCCAACCCGCGAGGGGGAGCUAAUCCCAGAAAGUGUAUCGUAGUCCGGAUUGGAGUCUGCAACUCGACUCCAUGAAGUUGGAAUCGCUAGUAAUCGCGGAUCUAGCAUGUAGCGGUGAAUACGUUCCCGGGUCUUGUACUCACCGCCCUUUAUAAGAAAAGGGCGACG